AUUGAACGCUGGCGGCAGGCCUAACACAUGCAAGUCGAACGGUAACAGGAAACAGCUUGCUGUUUCGCUGACGAGUGGCGGACGGGUGAGUAAUGUCUGGGAAACUGCCUGAUGGAGGGGGAUAACUACUGGAAACGGUAGCUGAUACCGCAUAACGUCGCAAGACCAAAGAGGGGGACCUUCGGGCCUCUUGCCAUCGGAUGUGCCCGGAUGGGAUUAGCUAGUAGGUGGGGUAACGGCUCACCUAGGCGACGAUCCCUAGCUGGUCUGAGAGGAUGACCAGCCACACUGGAACUGAGACACGGUCCAGACUCCUACGGGAGGCAGCAGUGGGGAAUAUUGCACAAUGGGCGCAAGCCUGAUGCAGCCAUGCCGCGUGUAUGAAGAAGGCCUUCGGGUUGUAAAGUACUUUCAGCGGGGAGGAAGGGAGUAAAGUCAAUACCUUUGCUCAUUGACGUUACCCGCAGAAGAAGCACCGGCUAACUCCGUGCCAGCAGCCGCAGUAA
This 506-nucleotide ribosomal RNA is filed under the name uncultured bacterium. RNAcentral's name for it is "partial 16S ribosomal RNA". It matches the Rfam family "Bacterial small subunit ribosomal RNA", at positions 30 to 523 of the family's 1533-position model. The record is from RNAcentral.